AUGUCGCGCGUCAAGUUGGAGUUGAUCAGAUGGAAUGUUCGAGGUUUGAACAGUCCGACUAAGCGGAAGGCGUUGAGAGAGUUUGUAGAUUCCAGUAGGCCGACAAUUCUUUGUAUCCAGGAGUCUAAACUCGAGUUUGUAUACCAGUUUAUUAUUUUGCAAUGUUGUGGCCCAUCCUAUGAUGGGUUUGCGUACUUGCCGUCUGUUGGGACUCGAGGUGGCAUCAUACUGGCAUGGGACUCAUCAGUUAUUGGCAUAUCUAACUGUGUGCGGGAUAGCAACUCUGUCACGGCUUACGUUGCACCUAUGGAUGGAGCGCCCUGGUGGCUCUCAGUCGUCUACGGGCCUCAGGAUGAUGGCGAGAAGAUUCAAUUCUUGGAGGAGCUUACGGCCAGAAGAUUGCUCUGUCCGGGUCCUUGGCUAGUAAUUGGUGAUUUCAACUUAAUACUACAGGCCUCUGACAAGAGUAACUCUCUCCUAGAUAGGCGUAUGAUGAGCAGAUUCAGAAGAUUUGUCGAUGAUAAUGGUCUGAAGGAGCUCUUUCUCCACGGCCGGCUUUUUACUUGGUGCAACGAGAGAGAGGUGCCCACCAUGACUAAAAUUGACCGAGCUUUCGUCUCGGUUGAUUGGGAACUAGAUCAUCCUGAUUGUCUGCUGCAGGCUUUGUCCACAGCUACAUCAGAUCAUUGCCCACUUCAUCUGGCUUUGGACGAUCACCUUCACCCGCAUAGGAGAUUCCAAUUUGAGUCUUUUUGGACUAAAUUGGACGGGUUUGAGGAAGCAGUGGAGGAAGCCUGGAAGUGCGAUCCGGAGAUCACAUAA
This 822-nucleotide ribosomal RNA is filed under the name Triticum aestivum (bread wheat). RNAcentral describes it as "partial small subunit ribosomal RNA". Lineage: Eukaryota; Viridiplantae; Streptophyta; Magnoliopsida; Poales; Poaceae. The record is from RNAcentral.